This 376-nucleotide ribosomal RNA is filed under the name uncultured bacterium. Its description in RNAcentral is "bacterial SSU rRNA". It matches the Rfam family "Bacterial small subunit ribosomal RNA", at positions 521 to 898 of the family's 1533-position model. The record is from RNAcentral.
UAAUACGUAUGUUGCGAGCGUUAUCCGGAAUUAUUGGGCUUAAAGGGCAUCUAGGCGGUAAGACAAGUUGAAGGUGAAAACCUGUGGCUCAACCAUAGGCUUGCCUACAAAACUGUUGAACUAGAGUACUGGAAAGGUGGGUGGAACUACACGAGUAGAGGUGAAAUUCGUAGAUAUGUGUAGGAAUGCCGAUGAUGAAGAUAACUCACUGGACAGAAACUGACGCUGAAGUGCGAAAGCUAGGGGAGCAAACAGGAUUAGAUACCCUGGUAGUCCUAGCUGUAAACGAUGAUCACUGGGUGUGGGGAUGCGAAGUCUCUGUGCCGAAGCAAAAGCGAUAAGUGAUCCGCCUGGGGAGUACGUUCGCAAGAAUGAA